Small nuclear RNA from Cebus imitator (Panamanian white-faced capuchin), 164 nucleotides. Its record names the gene U1. It matches the Rfam family "U1 spliceosomal RNA". From Rfam's summary of the family: U1 is a small nuclear RNA (snRNA) component of the spliceosome (involved in pre-mRNA splicing). Its 5' end forms complementary base pairs with the 5' splice junction, thus defining the 5' donor site of an intron. The record is from Ensembl. Lineage: Eukaryota; Metazoa; Chordata; Mammalia; Primates; Cebidae.
AUAUUUACCUGGCAGGGAGAUACUAUGAUCAUGAAGGUGGUUCUCCCAAGGCAAGGCUUAUCCAUUGCACUCGGGAUGUGCUGACCCCUGCAAUUUCCCCAAAUGUGGGAAACUCGACUGCAUAAUUCAUGUUAGUGGGGGGACUGCGUUCGUGCUUUCCCCUG